Molecule: long non-coding RNA, 531 nt
Filed under: Cairina moschata (Muscovy duck)
Lineage: Eukaryota; Metazoa; Chordata; Aves; Anseriformes; Anatidae
Description: domestica (muscovy Duck (domestic type)) lncRNA (ENSCMMG00000012411.1)
Source: RNAcentral
CGGCGCUGGCUCGGCGCUCGCCGCCCCGUAACUUGUGCCGUGGGAAGCGGCGCCAGGAAUAGCCCGGCCGCGCCGCGAGCUGCGAGCCCUGCCUCGCCUCCCCGCUCCUCUCCUCUCCCCUCCUCUCCUCCUUCCCGGCCCCGGCCGCCGCCUCGCCCCCGUCAGUGCCGCGGUGAUGCUGGUGCGUUCCCGGCGGAGGGGCAGCGAUGAGCUCCCUUAAGAUCAAUACGCGAGACAGACGCCCCUUGGCCGCUGGAAUAUCUCUGCCUGGCCUUAUAUAAAGACACGCCGCCGGGCCGCCGAGCUCCGGGCACACGGAGCGUCCGGCGGGAGCACCAGCACCGCCGCCAGCAGCAGCAGCAGCAGCAAGGGCACCGGGAGGGCUCCGCUCCCUCCUCCUCCUCCUCCUCCUCCGCCACUUCCCAGACUUCCCCCCUGAAAACCUCCUGCCCUAGGAUGAGAAGCAGCUUGCAAAGCAGGAGGAAGAUUGGUUUCUUCUGGGGGAGGCUUUAUCUCUUCUGUGACUUCUGA